AUGUACUACUUUGAUAAUCCUGAGAAAAGCCCAUUCAACUUUAUAAUGGGAGUAAUGUUGGAUCAACGUGAAUACUUUAGGGAUUAUCGCUUGACUCAAAAAGGGAAACUAUUAUGGGAUCAAAUUCAUAUGUUGCAUUGGUAUGCUCGGGAACUGUGCUUGAGAUAUGAUUAUACUUGUUGCUCUAGGAUGAAGGCUCCACACCUUCCCUUUUCAUGUGAAUUUAAUGAUAAUAAUACCUUAGCUUCUUAUGCUAAUGGUAUAUAUGAUUACUAUGAUGUGGAACAAAUAGAAGAAUUCGUUGCUUUUAUGGGUGCUUAUGAAAUUGAAUCUUUGUUUAAAGAGUGUGAAAAUCUUUAUGAUGAUGUUUAA
RNAcentral lists this ribosomal RNA (372 nucleotides) under Triticum aestivum (bread wheat). RNAcentral's name for it is "partial small subunit ribosomal RNA". Lineage: Eukaryota; Viridiplantae; Streptophyta; Magnoliopsida; Poales; Poaceae. The record is from RNAcentral.